GACAAACGCUGGCGGCGUGCUUAACACAUGCAAGUCGAACGGUCCCUUUCUUAUGAGGGGGAUAGUGGCGGACGGGUGAGUAACACGUAGACGACCUGCCUCGAAGUGGGGAAUAACGUCCUGAAAGGGACGCUAAUACCGCAUAAGCUCUCUAUCGUGGGGUAGAGAGGAAACUUUCGUAAGAGAGGCUUUGAGAGGGGUCUGCGGCGGAUUAGCCUAGUUGGGUAGGUAACGGCUGCCCAAGGCGACGANCCGUAGCUGGUCUGAGAGGACGGCCAGCCACACUGGGACUGAGACACGGCCCAGACUCCUACGGGAGGCAGCAGUGAGGAAUAUUCCGACAAUGGGCGCAAGCCUG
Molecule: ribosomal RNA, 358 nt
Filed under: uncultured bacterium
Lineage: Bacteria
Description: bacterial SSU rRNA
Rfam family: Bacterial small subunit ribosomal RNA
Source: RNAcentral